Molecule: ribosomal RNA, 914 nt
Filed under: uncultured archaeon
Lineage: Archaea
Description: bacterial SSU rRNA
Rfam family: Archaeal small subunit ribosomal RNA
Source: RNAcentral
UUCCGGUUGAUCCUGCCGGACCUGACUGCUAUCGGAUUGAUACUAAGCCAUGCUAGUCUUUGUAGUAAUACAAGGCAUACGGCUCAGUAACACGUAGUCAACCUACCCUAUGGACGGGGAUAAUCUCGGGAAACUGAGCAUAAUACCCGGCAGACCACUUAUCCUGGAAUGGUUAGUGGUUAAAAUGAUUCGUCGCCAUAGGAUGGGACUGCGGCCUAUCAGCUUGUUGGUGAGGUAAUGGCCCACCAAGGCGAUUACAGGUACGGGCUCUGAGAGGAGAGGCCCGGAGAUGGGUACUGAGACAAGGACCCAGGCCCUAUGGGGCGCAGCAGGCGAGAAAACUUUGCAAUGUGCGAAAGCACGACAAGGUUAAUCCGAGUGAUUUCUGCUAAAGGAAUCUUUUGUUAGUUCUAAAAAUACUAGUGAAUAAGGGGUGGGCAAGUUCUGGUGUCAGCCGCCGCGGUAAAACCAGCACCUCAAGUGGUCAGGAGGAUUAUUGGGCCUAAAGCAUCCGUAGCCUGUUCUAUAAGUUUGCGGUUAAAUCCAUAUGCUCAACAUAUGGGCUGCCGUAAAUACUGUAGAACUAGGGAGUGGGAGAGGUAGACGGUACUCGAUAGGAAGGGGUAAAAUCCUUUGAUCUAUUGAUGACCACCUGUGGCGAAGGCGGUCUACCAGAACACGUUCGACGGUGAGGGAUGAAAGCUGGGGGAGCAAACCGGAUUAGAUACCCGGGUAGUCCCAGCUGUAAACGAUGCAGACUCGAUGAUGCAAUGGCAUAGAGCUAUUGCAGUAUCGCAGGGAAGCCGUUAAGUUUGCCGCCUGGGAAGUACGUACGCAAGUAUGAAACUUAAAGGAAUUGGCGGGGGAGCACCACAAGGGGUGAAGCCUGCGGUUCAAUUGGAGUCAACGCCGGA